UAUAGGAACUCGCACAGCCUGUAGGAUGCUCCGCGGGCCUUGUGCUCGGCCCCAGAGCCAGGGUUCGGCCAGAGGCAGAGCACCUAGAGUACCCUAAAGGAGACACACUCCAAGAUGCUGCUCAGCGCCACCCCACUUGCUCUCUUCGCCUUUGAUGGUCCCGAGCCACAAACAGGUGUGGGGCACAGUCUCUUUGCUCCAAGUGGCAGGGACCCCUCGCGGUUACUUCGGACGAAUAGCUGGAGAAGACCAGAGCCCAGAGCAGAGGCAGGCCUGAGCCGAGCGCGCUGCCCAGGCAGCCAGGCAGCUUGGUUUUCCACAGACAUCAAAAGACCUGGAAAUCCGCCCAUCUUUGGGAGAACAGAAGAUCAGCCCAUGCUGCCACGAGGGCCAGCCACCCGGAGAGCAAUCACAGUGAGCUGGAGAACAGGUGCUUCCUCUUCCUGCCGUUUGGGGACCUGCCACUUUGCCUUUUGAUGAUUGUCAGGUAUGGACCACAGGUCCAUUAUAAUUGUUUGGAAACAGCUCCUUCCUUGAAUUGCUUUGGAAUUAAACAUGGAACAUCAAUUGAGGACUGUUUGACACACAGUCAGCCAACCACCAGCAACAACAUCGGCCGCAACCACACAGUUCAGGGCACCACCUCUACAUCCUCUGAGAAGUUCCCAGAAUUCCAAACGUCAUACCCUCAUGGAAACUAUCUGAGGCCGGCAAAACCACACCACUGCUAGAGCAUGAGGCAAAUCAUAGUCAACCUCUGUGAAGUGGCCUUUUAUUCCCACACCUGGGAUUAAAAGGAAAAUAUA
Long non-coding RNA from Psammomys obesus (fat sand rat), 806 nucleotides. RefSeq lists it as uncharacterized. NCBI's taxonomy places the organism in Eukaryota, Metazoa, Chordata, Mammalia, Rodentia, Muridae. The record is from RefSeq and is a predicted model, not a curated record. The transcript is spliced from 4 exons.